GGGCGUUUAGCUCAGUUGGUUAGAGCGCUACCCUUACAAGGUAGAAGUCACUGGUUCGAGUCCAGUAACGCCCACCA
This 77-nucleotide transfer RNA is filed under the name bacterium. RNAcentral describes it as "tRNA-Val". It matches the Rfam family "tRNA". From Rfam's summary of the family: Transfer RNA (tRNA) molecules are approximately 80 nucleotides in length. Their secondary structure includes four short double-helical elements and three loops (D, anti-codon, and T loops). Further hydrogen bonds mediate the characteristic L-shaped molecular structure. tRNAs have two regions of fundamental functional importance: the anti-codon, which is responsible for specific mRNA codon recognition, and the 3' end, to which the tRNAs corresponding amino acid is attached (by aminoacyl-tRNA synthetases). tRNAs cope with the degeneracy of the genetic code in two manners: having more than one tRNA (with a specific anti-codon) for a particular amino acid; and 'wobble' base-pairing, i.e. permitting non-standard base-pairing at the 3rd anti-codon position. The record is from RNAcentral. RNAcentral also lists the same sequence under 1 other name.